This 935-nucleotide long non-coding RNA is filed under the name Equus asinus (donkey). Its description in RNAcentral is "lncRNA (ENSEASG00005027644.1)". Lineage: Eukaryota; Metazoa; Chordata; Mammalia; Perissodactyla; Equidae. The record is from RNAcentral.
GGAGGGGGAAAUGCAUAACGUGGAGGGAGAGUCCUGUCCUGUCAGCAAAGGGGAAACGCUGUCCUUCCUUGGUCUUAUAUUGAUGGUUAUCAGUGACAUAGUUACUACUACAAUCAUUUCAUAAAGGCCAUUGACACGCUAACACGUCUUGGAAAAUGGUGACUCAGAACGUUUCCUAGGCUCCCCUCUCAAGAACAGCUCUCUUUUUUGGACUCCUGCUGCAAUAUCCCCAUAGUUCUUGUUCUCGUAUCUUUUUUGGUGCCACACUGCUUGGAUCAAACUGGAUUUUGCUGCUUCUCUUGGCAAAAAAGGCCUGCUCUCUCUAAAGGGGUUAUUUCCUAACCCCAAACCCAUCCAGAGCCCAUACCCUUCAUCCUCCCUACGACCUCAUGUUGCUGAGGUCCCAAUCACAACAAAAACAAAUCCAUCAAACCUCAAUUUGGACCAGCCACGUUUCAAGCACUCAAUAGCCGCAUGUGCCUAGCGGAUACCACGUUGGACGGCACAGCUCUAGGUAUCGAGAUCUUACUCACUUCGUCUUCCCUCCCUGAAGUGGAUCUACUUAUAUAACCGGGAAGAGGAUAUUGCUGACUCGUUGAAAGCCAAUACUUUGGUGCUCAGGGCAUUUUUAUCCGUGGCCAAGAACGUAGAUUACGGACUCUCACAAACGUGAGGAAAUCGUCAUGGGAUCAUGCCAGGAAAGGAGGCUUGGGAAAGGACAUCUCUGACUUCUUGAAAAAUUGAGUGUGUCUACAUUUGUCCUGGCUCUCAUUUAGUUUCAAAUACAAGGAGAUUUAGAUUCAAAAUAGCUUCUUAAUUUGCUUUCUUUCUUCACGUGGUCAAUACACGUGAAAGUAGACUCAUGAGGAGAAAAUCAUUCUCAGUUAUCUCAAUUUCUACGGGAUGUUGUGAAGAUAAUAAACAUUUUUGAUAAG